RNAcentral lists this transfer RNA (74 nucleotides) under Sus scrofa (pig). It matches the Rfam family "tRNA". Rfam says of the family: Transfer RNA (tRNA) molecules are approximately 80 nucleotides in length. Their secondary structure includes four short double-helical elements and three loops (D, anti-codon, and T loops). The record is from Rfam by way of RNAcentral. Lineage: Eukaryota; Metazoa; Chordata; Mammalia; Artiodactyla; Suidae.
UCUCUGGUGGCUCAGCGGGUUAAGGGUCCAGCAUUGUCACUGCUGUGGUGCGGGUUUGAUCCCUGGCCCGGGAA